UCGUAGGUGACCUGCGGAGGAUCAUUGCACACACAUUUGCGAAUGCCAACCCCUUUGCGAACUUUACCACUGUCCCACCCCCAACUGGCUCCGGCCAGCCCGAGUCUCCUGACUCUGACCGAACACGGCGAGGGGGACCCUAACCCGUGUUUUGGUUGGAUGUGGGGACUCGGUGUUUUGGGAAACUCCAUGUACAAACAUUGGAUGGCGCAAUGCAUCAACACUUCAAAAUUUGACUGAGUAUGAUACCAAGGAGAACGACCGUGGUGCCCCCCCGGCCCCCGGGAGUUCGAGUUGUGUUUAAGUGAUAAACAAAAACAACUCUCAGCAACGGAUAUCUUGGCUCCUGCAACGAUGAAGAACGCAGCGAAAUGCGAUACGUAGUGUGAAUUGCAGAAUUCCGCGAAUCAUCGAGUCUUUGAACGCAAGUUGCGCCCGAGACGAAAGUGUCGGGCAUUCCUGGCAGAGCGUCACCGCGCCACCCACCGACCCCCCACUCCGCAUGGAGUGCGGGCCGAGUGGAACUGGCCGUCCCAGUGAGAGAACCGCCGCCGCUGCUCCUUCGGGAGUGGUGGCGGUGGUGACUGGGUCGGCUGAAAUGGAGGGAAUUCUUGGCCCCGCCGCGGCGACACAGCCCGCGAUCAGGUGAUCCCGGCCCCCCGCAAGGGGAAAAGGGAAAGUGUUGGUUGGCUGUGUUGUCCCCCCAGGAGUUGGAUUCCGAAGCAGGCAGGCCCCCUUUGUCAAAAAGAGGGCCGCGUCACGCAUGGAGACCUCUGAUCAGGAAAGACUACCCGC
Molecule: ribosomal RNA, 795 nt
Filed under: Grimmia tergestina
Lineage: Eukaryota; Viridiplantae; Streptophyta; Bryopsida; Grimmiales; Grimmiaceae
Description: eukaryotic LSU rRNA
Rfam family: 5.8S ribosomal RNA (bases 320-473)
Source: RNAcentral